GAUGAACGCUAGCGGCAGGCCUAACACAUGCAAGUCGAGGGAGAGGUUAUCUUCGGGUAACCAAAACCGGCGCACGGGUGCGUAACGCGUAUACAAUCUGCCUUUCACAUAGGGAUAGCCCGAAGAAAUUUGGAUUAAUACCUAAUGGUAUAUAAGAGCGGCAUCGUUUUUAUAUUAAAGCUACGGUGGUGAAAGAUGAGUAUGCGUUCUAUUAGCUAGUUGGAGAGGUAACGGCUCCCCAAGGCGACGAUAGAUAGGGGUUCUGAGAGGGAUGUCCCCCACACUGGUACUGAGAUACGGACCAGACUCCUACGGGAGGCAGCAGUGAGGAAUAUUGGACAAUGGUCGGAAGACUGAUCCAGCCAUGCCGCGUGCAGGAUGAAGGUCCUAUGGAUUGUAAACUGCUUUUGUAAGGGAAGAAUAAGGAGUACGUGUACUUUGAUGACGGUACCUUACGAAUAAGCAUCGGCUAACUCCGUGCCAGCAGCCGCGGUAAUACGGAGGAUGCGAGCGUUAUCCGGAAUCAUUGGGUUUAAAGGGUCCGUAGGCGGGCUGAUAAGUCAGAGGUGAAAGCGCCUAGCUCAACUAAGCAACUGCCUUUGAAACUGUCAGUCUUGAAUGAUUGUGAAGUAGUUGGAAUGUGUAGUGUAGCGGUGAAAUGCUUAGAUAUUACACAGAACACCGAUAGCGAAGGCAUAUUACUAACAAUUUAUUGACGCUGAUGGACGAAAGCGUGGGGAGCGAACAGG
RNAcentral lists this ribosomal RNA (749 nucleotides) under uncultured Capnocytophaga sp. RNAcentral's name for it is "bacterial SSU rRNA". It matches the Rfam family "Bacterial small subunit ribosomal RNA", at positions 28 to 776 of the family's 1533-position model. Lineage: Bacteria; Pseudomonadati; Bacteroidota; Flavobacteriia; Flavobacteriales; Flavobacteriaceae. The record is from RNAcentral.